AACGAACGCUGGCGGCAUGCCUAACACAUGCAAGUCGAACGAGACCUUCGGGUCUAGUGGCGCACGGGUGCGUAACGCGUGGGAACCUGCCCUUAGGUUCGGAAUAACUCCCCGAAAGGGGUGCUAAAACCGGAAAAUGUCUUCGGACCAAAGAUUUAUCGCCUUUGGAUGGGCCCGCGUUGGAUUAGCUAGUUGGUAGGGUAAAAGCCUACCAAGGCGACGAUCCAUAGCUGGUCUGAGAGGAUGAUCAGCCACACUGGGACUGAGACACGGCCCAGACUCCUGCGGGAUGCAGCAGUGGGGAAUAUUGGACAAUGGGCGAUAGCCUGAUCCAGCAAUGCCGCGUGAGUGAUGAAGGCCUUAGGGUUGUAAAGCUCUUUUACCCGGGAUGAUAAUGACAUUACCGGGAGAAUAAGCUCCGGCUAACUCCGUG
Molecule: ribosomal RNA, 433 nt
Filed under: uncultured bacterium
Lineage: Bacteria
Description: partial 16S ribosomal RNA
Rfam family: Bacterial small subunit ribosomal RNA
Source: RNAcentral